Molecule: ribosomal RNA, 506 nt
Filed under: uncultured bacterium
Lineage: Bacteria
Description: partial 16S ribosomal RNA
Rfam family: Bacterial small subunit ribosomal RNA
Source: RNAcentral
AUUGAACGCUGGCGGCAGGCCUAACACAUGCAAGUCGAACGGUAACAGGAAGAAGCUUGCUUCUUUGCUGACGAGUGGCGGACGGGUGAGUAAUGUCUGGGAAACUGCCUGAUGGAGGGGGAUAACUACUGGAAACGGUAGCUAAUACCGCAUAACGUCGCAAGACCAAAGAGGGGGACCUUCGGGCCUCUUGCCAUCGGAUGGGCCCAGAUGGGAUUAGCUAGUAGGUGGGGUAACGGCUCACCUAGGCGACGAUCCCUAGCUGGUCUGAGAGGAUGACCAGCCACACUGGAACUGAGACACGGUCCAGACUCCUACGGGAGGCAGCAGUGGGGAAUAUUGCACAAUGGGCGCAAGCCUGAUGCAGCCAUGCCGCGUGUAUGAAGAAGGCCUUCGGGUUGUAAAGUACUUUCAGCGGGGAGGAAGGGAGUAAAGUUAAUACCUUUGCUCAUUGACGUUACCCGCAGAAGAAGCACCGGCUAACUCCGUGCCAGCCGCCGCCGUAA